GACAGAGGGUGCAAACGUUGUUCGGAAUUACUGGGCGUAAAGCGCACGUAGGCGGCUUUGUAAGUUAGAGGUGAAAGCCCGGGGCUCAACCCCGGAAUUGCCUUUAAGACUGCAUCGCUAGAAUUGUGGAGAGGUAAGUGGAAUUCCGAGUGUAGAGGUGAAAUUCGUAGAUAUUCGGAAGAACACCAGUGGCGAAGGCGGCCAACUGGACAGAUACUGACGCUGAGACUCGAAAGCGUGGGGAGCAAACAGG
Molecule: ribosomal RNA, 253 nt
Filed under: uncultured bacterium
Lineage: Bacteria
Description: partial 16S ribosomal RNA
Rfam family: Bacterial small subunit ribosomal RNA
Source: RNAcentral